This is a small nucleolar RNA of Xenopus tropicalis (tropical clawed frog), 76 nucleotides long. Lineage: Eukaryota; Metazoa; Chordata; Amphibia; Anura; Pipidae. The record is from Ensembl.
UCGCAAUGAUGUAAUUGAAUUUCUUCACCUGACUGGAUAAUGAAGAUUAAAUCCGAGCUUUUUAACCCUGAGCUGU